Molecule: ribosomal RNA, 253 nt
Filed under: Faecalibacterium prausnitzii
Lineage: Bacteria; Bacillati; Bacillota; Clostridia; Eubacteriales; Oscillospiraceae
Description: partial 16S ribosomal RNA
Rfam family: Bacterial small subunit ribosomal RNA
Source: RNAcentral
AACGUAGGUCACAAGCGUUGUCCGGAAUUACUGGGUGUAAAGGGAGCGCAGGCGGGAGAACAAGUUGGAAGUGAAAUCCAUGGGCUCAACCCGUGAACUGCUUUCAAAACUGUUUUUCUUGAGUAGUGCAGAGGUAGGCGGAAUUCCCGGUGUAGCGGUGGAAUGCGUAGAUAUCGGGAGGAACACCAGUGGCGAAGGCGGCCUACUGGGCACCAACUGACGCUGAGGCUCGAAAGUGUGGGUAGCAAACAGG